CCUACGGGAGGCAGCAGUAAGGAAUAUUGGUCAAUGGACGAAAGUCUGAACCAGCCAUGCCGCGUGAAGGAUGAAGGCCCUCUGGGUUGUAAACUUCUUUUAUCUGGGACGAAAAAAGCUCAUUCUUGAGCACUUGACGGUACCAGAGGAAUAAGCACCGGCUAACUCCGUGCCAGCAGCCGCGGUAAUACGGAGGGUGCAAGCGUUAUCCGGAUUCACUGGGUUUAAAGGGUGCGUAGGUGGGUCUGUAAGUCAGUGGUGAAAUCUCCGAGCUUAACUCGGAAACUGCCAUUGAUACUAUAGGUCUUGAAUCAUCUGGAGGUAAGCGGAAUAUGUCAUGUAGCGGUGAAAUGCUUAGAUAUGACAUAGAACACCAAUUGCGAAGGCAGCUUACUACGGGUGUAUUGACACUGAGGCACGAAAAGCGUGGGGAUCAAACAGGAUUAGAUACCCUGGUAGUCCACGCCCUAAACGAUGGAUACUCGACAUCAGCGAUACACUGUUGGUGUCUGAGCGAAAAGCAUUAAGUAUCCCACCUGGGAAGUACGACCCGCAAAGGUUGAAACUCAAAAUGAAUUGACGGNUGAGAGNGCGAGGAGACACGAGGGAGAGG
This 613-nucleotide ribosomal RNA is filed under the name uncultured bacterium. Its description in RNAcentral is "bacterial SSU rRNA". It matches the Rfam family "Bacterial small subunit ribosomal RNA", at positions 338 to 950 of the family's 1533-position model. The record is from RNAcentral.